AAUCACCAGUUGGUGGCGUUAAUGCACUAAUUUCGUUGCCUGCCAACCGCUAAUAACCGCCAAAGAAGAAGAAGAAGACGAAGUCAGCGUCGCAGCAAAGCCAUUACUGAAGACUCCGAUUUCUGUUUUCACAGGAUGGAGAACAACAGGGAUGAAGACUCUUCUACAGUCAAUGUCAACAAUGCCAAACAUCCUCUUAAUACUGAGGAAGUGGAAGCAAUAACAGUCCAGCACUCUUUUCUGUUGUUGAUGUGUUUGGGGGUGUUAAGUGUCGUGCUGGCUGCAAAAGUCCUCUACACAGGUAUGAUGGCAUACCAGGUGAAUGGCAUGAUGAGUGAAGAUGUGAGUAUGAUGACAACCAAGCAGCAUGAAAAUAUCAGCAGCCUUACAACUGAAAAACAUCAACUGGUAGAGCUACAAAAGGCGAUGAAGAGCCAGAUCGAGGACCUGGACCGAGAGAGAAACGUGUUCUGGAUAAAAGAAGAAUUUGACGAAAUCAGAAGGAAACUUAACCUACACAGACAGAAGCUGGCCAGAGACUUAGCACAGAUUAGCCAAGACAGAAAGAAGCUGAACCAAGAAAGACAGGAGCUGACCCAAGACUUACAGGACCUCAUUGAAGACAGAGAGAAGCUGAACCAAGACAGAGAGAAGCUGACCCGAGAGAGAGAAAAGUUGAGCCGAGACAGAGAAAAGCUGAGACAAGACACAGAGGAGCUGAGCCUAGAAGCGGAGGAGCUGAGUCGAAAUAGAACGGAGCUUAGCAAAGCAGAAGAGGAACUGAACAAAGAGAAAGAGGACCUGGCCCAAAAUACAGAAAAUCUGAACAAAGAGAAAGAUGUUCUGAACAAAGAGAAAGGUGUUCUGAACAGAGAGAGAGAGAAGGUGAGGCGUGAUAAAGAGAAAGUGAGGAAAGAAAGGGAGAAGCUGAAACGAGAGCAAGAGUACCAUAUGAAAAUAUGGGACCUGGUAAAAGAUAAAAAGGAAGUGGAAAAGAAGAGAGAGGAGCUGAGGGAAAGCAGAAAGAAGAUAAACAACCAGACAAAGGAGCUAAUGAAAGAAAAGGAGGAGUAUUACAAAGAUAUACAACUACUAAGAAAAAGGAAAGAGGAGCUGAGGAAAAAGAUGGAGGAGCUGAGGAAAAAGAUGGAGGAGCUGAGGAAAAUGAAAGAGGAGCUGAGCAAACAGAAAAAGGAGCGGACAAAAGAGAACGAGGAGCUGAGGAAAAAUGAAGAUCGGCUGUCCAAAAUGAAAGAUGAGCUGAUAAAAGAGAAAGAGAGGCUGAGCAAAAAGAAAGAGGAGCUCAGUAAAAAGAAAGAGAAGCUGGGCAAAGAGAAAGGGGAGCUGAUCAAAAUGAAAGAGGAGCUGGCCAAAGAGAAAGAAGAGCUGAACAAAAUGAAAGCAGAGCUUAUCGAAAAGAAAGAAGAGCUGAACAAAAAGAAAAUGAAACUGGACACAGAGAAAGAGGAGCUGAACAACCUGACAAAAAAGCUGAACCAAGAGCAAGAGAAGGUGAACAAAGAGCGUGAGAAGCUGAGAGCAUUGAUAAAUCAGGAAUUGGAAAAAUGCACAGAGAGAGACGCCCUGGUAACCUUCAAGACUGAUCUCUGGAAGUAUAGAAACUUUCCAACUGAAGAAUUCUGUCCUGAAUAUAUGAAACCAACAUGUCUGGAUUGCAGGUAUGGAUGGAUUUUCUACAAGGGACACUGCUACAUUGUUUCUCGUGAAGGUAGUGAAGAUUGGAAGACUUGGGAUGAAAGUCGAGAUUUCUGUCAGGAACGUGGUGCAGACUUACUUACGGUUGAUAAUAUGGAAGAGCAGACGUCUGAAACUCCAAUCCUACACUCUUUCACUCUGUGUAGUUCUCUCUUGUUCAUUAGUAUAUAAUCAAUUCUGGAAUAAAUACCGUGUGGUAUUGAAUAAUGAGUAUAAUCUUGAUCUAAGGGGUGAAAUUCUCUCCACACAUCUACAAUUGCCAUUUCUGACAUCAUGGUGUUCAUGUACAUACUGAUUUGCUUUUUACUAUUUUUCUUGCUUGUAGUAUCCAUCCUAUAAUUUAACACCGCAUUAAAGUCCCCGCUACAUAUCAAUAUUCCCUCUGCUUCCAAGUUAAUGAGAUCAAAUAUUUUCUUAAAAAGUGCUUUGUUACUUUCUGGAGGGGCAUAUACAUUGAGUAGUGUGGUUAACUGGUUUUCCAAUUUGCCCUUUAUCAUUAAGUAUCUUCCUUCUUUAUCCCCAAUUUCCUCCAACAAUUCAAACUUUACACUAUUUGAAAUCAAUGUCAUAACUCCUCGCUUAUGCCUUUCUCCAAGAGGAGGAAAAUGAGUUUCCAUACCCUAAUUUUUUGUACUUUCCAUGCCCUUUUUUUGUUAGGUGUGUCUCCUGUAAGAGAAUAACUUGUACCUUUUCUUUUCUAAAUUUCUUUAGGACCUUAUCUCUCUUUUUGGUAUUAUUUAAGCCAUUGACAUUCAGUGAUGCCACAGUUAUGACCUUAGACAUUGUUCGUAUAUCUUGGUUUGAAUCUCAGCCUCUUCACUUGAACUAUGAACAAGAACUAAACUAACCAAAAAUCUGAACUCCCGACUAAAUAUGGGCCAUAUUCCCAAGAGGCCCUUCGCUUCCAUGUUGCACUCUUCCAGCUCUGCGCCUCAGUCAUGUCUUCUUGUUGUUUCCGCAUCAUUCUGUGCCACUUUUUUCUUAAUUUCUUCUUUAAAGCCCAUAAAUUCUCCCUUCACCUCCUCUUUGAAUUCGUCUUUGAAUUUUGUGAGAUUCUCCUUCACCUCCUUUUUAAGGUCUCGGAUUUCCACCGUGAUGUUAAGUAGCCCCUCCAACACGGCCUGUAGCUGACUCCAGUUGCCGCUUUCUUCUUCCAUUGGCUCAACAUCGGGGUCGCAGACUUCUGCCAUUUUCUUCCUUAUGCUUCUCUGCUUGCGUCCUCCACUCAUUUCGUGUCUGGUUAAAGUUGUAUUUUGACUAGUUUCCUUGGAUUAGGGAGGGGUUUUUUUCCUCGACAAGAGAGCUCGAACUUAUGCUGCCAUCUUGCUCCGCGUCCACCGGAAGUCUCUAAUUUUCUCUUUUUGGCAGAGGAAAUUUUCCAAAAAUGGAGGGUUAAUCUGCACAUCCCCACUAAAUUCAGUACUAAUGCUAUGCCCAAAAAAUAAAUGCAGAAAAAAAACUUACUCAAUUUCCAUGUCUUAACUAUAAAAGCUUAGAAGAAAUUAUAAAUAAAUUCAGCUCCUUUUCCAAAUCUGGAACAAACUUCUGGAAAGUUGUUAAACAGCCGAAACACUGAGUUCCUUUAAAUCUAAA
RNA transcript from Xiphophorus couchianus (Monterrey platyfish), 3309 nucleotides. It is a transcript of the gene named golgin subfamily A member 6-like protein 7, with no coding region annotated. The record is from RefSeq and is a predicted model, not a curated record. The transcript is spliced from 8 exons. Lineage: Eukaryota; Metazoa; Chordata; Actinopteri; Cyprinodontiformes; Poeciliidae.